UACGGGGGGGGCAAGCGUUGUUCGGAAUUACUGGGCGUAAAGGGCGCGUAGGCGGCCCUCUAAGUCAGACGUGAAAUCCCUCGGCUCAACCGGGGAACUGCGUCUGAUACUGGAGGGCUUGAAUCCGGGAGAGGGAUGUGGAAUUCCAGGUGUAGCGGUGAAAUGCGUAGAUAUCUGCAGGAACACCCGUGGCGAAAGCGGCGCGCUGGACCACUACUGACGCUGAGGAACGAAAGCUAGGGGAGCAAACAGG
Molecule: ribosomal RNA, 253 nt
Filed under: uncultured bacterium
Lineage: Bacteria
Description: partial 16S ribosomal RNA
Rfam family: Bacterial small subunit ribosomal RNA
Source: RNAcentral